This 4778-nucleotide long non-coding RNA is filed under the name Homo sapiens (human). RNAcentral's name for it is "HSALNT0395568". Lineage: Eukaryota; Metazoa; Chordata; Mammalia; Primates; Hominidae. The record is from RNAcentral.
CUGAGUUUGGGGUUUUGGAUGCUGGGCCUGAGAGUCAGAGGCCAUUCAUCACUCAGGGCAGACAGCCCCACCCAAGGCUCGGUCUUCUCUACUAACACACCUCCAGAGACGGCAGGCUUACCACUUAGCAAGACUCCUAGACAAGGCUUCUUUGCGUGUGGCUCCAGAGGAAGGUGAAGAUGACACCUUUCAAUGUCACUAAGGAAAAGUGACAAGGGACAGAAGGGAAGGCAAUUUUUUUUUUUUGAGACAUGGUCUCACUCCCAUUGCCCAAGCUGGAGUUCAGUGGUUCUGUAUCACCUCAUUGCAGCCUCCACCUCCUGGGCUCAAGUGAUCCUCCCAUCUCAUUUUUUCAUUUUUUUGUAGAGAUAGGGUCUCACUACAUUGCCCAGACUGGUCUCGAACUCCUGGGCUUAAGGGAUCCUCCCACCUCAGCCUCCCAAAAUGUUGGGAUUACAGGCGUGAGCCACCGCUCCUGCCUCAGCCUCCACAGUAGCUGGGAUUACAGGUGCCUGCCACCAUGCCCAGCUAAUUUUUGUAUUUUUGGUAGAGACAGGGUUUCAUCAUGUUGGCCAGGCUGGUCUCAAAUUCCUGACCUCAGGUGAUCUGCCCGCCUCAGCCUCCCAAAGUGCUGGGAUUACAGGUGUGAGCCACCGUGCCCUGCCUUGAUUUCUUUUAUUGUCUUCAUAAAGCUGUGUGUCCAUCAACCCAAUCAACUUUAGAACAUUUCCAUCAUUCCAAAAGGAAACCCCGUUCCCUCCCCAGCCCUGGCACCCACACUUCCCCUCCCUGUCUCUGUGGAUCUGCCUGCCCUGGACAUUUCAUAGAAAUGGGAUUGCACACCUGUGGCCUUCUGUGUCUGGCGUCUCUCACUGAGUGUGGCGUCCUCAGGAUGCAUCUGCGCUGUGGCCUGGGUCAGAGCCUCGCUCCUUUUCACGGCUCAGUCGUGUUCCAGUGGGCAGAGGGCCAUGCCGUGUUUGCCCAUUCUUGUGUUGAUGGACAUUUGGGCUGUUUCAGACGUUUCUGAGUGUGUAGGGAAUGCUGUUCUUGCCAACUCUUCCAGUGGCCCUGGAUUUGGGCCUUUGACCCUCACAGAAGGCCAAGCAGAGGCUGGGCAGGUCCCACCAAGGCCAGAAGCAGAGGGCGUGUUCCCCAGCAGGGCCUGGUGUUUGGAGCAUGACACAUGGAAACAGCUUCCAGGCAUGACCCUGUGUCUCCCAGCUGGCCCUGCCACUUCUGGAGGUGACCCUGCCACCCUGUGACUCUGUUUCUCCGUCGGCAAAGGCGGCGGUGAUGGGGACUCUGUGGUGGCAGCUAUUGUCAGGCAGCAUGGCAGCUGCACACGGGGGCUCGCCCAUGUGAGGGAGGCUUUCCGCAGGUGGUCCCUGUCCCUGUCCCUGUUCGCAUGGUCCUGCAGACGGCCGUCUCACCCCCAUACCACUGGCGUUGGAGGGCAGAUUGGGCGUGAGGAGAGGGUGAAUCUGUGUCCAGGGCUCCCCAGUUUUCCGUUCAGACCCGUGGGGAGGCGACUUUCCCGCUGUGGGCUCCAGCAUCGGGAGGGGUGGUCUGUGUGGAGUGACGUGUGGCCCUGUCCCCGCUACGAGAAAUCCCGGGGAAAGGAGGGGUGAAGGGGGCGGGAGGGGGUUCCUGGAAUCUGGCUGAGCUUGGGUGGCACCCAAGGAUGCCUGCAGCCCGCCCAGUGGCACGGGAAGCCCCCUCACCCGCUGGCUGGAAGGGGUGGGAGGCAAGUGGCAGGAGGCAGGUGGAUGGGUUGCCUGUUCUUCCCUGGGGGCGCCAGGGGAAGACCUGUCCCUGCCAGAGCACCGCGGCUGGCAGCCCCCAGCCCUUUGGUGGCAGCUAUGCCCUGGGGUGGGCAGGGUGAUGCGUAGGUCAUCUGCCCCUGUGGUGGGCCCAGCGCCCUCCUGUCUUCUCAGACCCUCCAGAGGAGGCAAAGGAGGUCUCUCAGGCAGAGCGAGAACAUGUCAUUCCUUCAGGGACAGCAGAACCACCACAGGUACUGCCCACCUGGGUCAGACAUCAGAGGGACAGAGACAGAGAGACAGAGACAGUCAGAGACAGAGAGACAAAGGGAGACAGAGAGAGACAGACGCAGGCAGACAGAGUCAGAGAUGGAGGGAGGAAGAGACGGAGAGACAGUGACAGAGACAGAAGGAGACAGAGACAGAGAGACAGAGACAGAGGGAGACAGAGAGACAGAGAUGGGGGAGACAGACAAAAACAGAGAGACAAAGACAGAGACAGAGGGAAACAGAGAGAGGGAGAGACAGAAAUAGAGAUAAACAGAGACAGAGAGGGAAGGAGACAGAGAAAGAGACAGAGAGACAGAGGGAGACAGAGAUAGAUCGAGUCGGACAGAGACAGAGAAAGAGACACAGAGAGACAGAGGGAUACAGAGAUACAGCAAGUCGGAGAGAGACAGAGAGACAUGGGGAGACAGAGGCAGCGCAGGGGCGGCUGUGCAGGGCGAUGGGCCGAGGGCUCCAUCCCGGCCUUCCUGGCCCCUGGGCCCCCCGCCUCCCAGCUGUGACUGGCCUGCUCUGGCCUUGGGCUCCGCCUGACUUUUCUGGGUUUGGGGUUGAGGGUGCAGGAGGCCCUGGCAGGGCAGGACUCUGGGUCCCCAGGGGCCGCCUCACCAUCCUGCCCCCGGGGUCACAGAACUUGGGCAUCUCCCCAUCAGUGGGCGACACGGGCCCAGCAGGGACUCGGGAAGGGGCUGGGGCACCCUGGGCUCUGCUCAGCCCGUGUCCCAGGAGCUUGGCAAGGGGCGCACAGCCAGCCCACAGCUAACUGCUGAGGGGAACCCUCCUCUCCCAGGUGCCAGCCCAGGUGGGGGCAGGGAGCCUCAGGCCCUACCCUCGGGUGCUCACAGCGUCUCCUGGACUUAGCAGAGGUCGGUGAGGCCCGAGGAAGCUUCAUGCUGGGGUCUCGGUGCAGGAGGUGGAGGGGGGAUGGGAAAAGGCUUGAAGGGAGGGCCCGGAUCCAUCAAUGGACACUGAGGCUGCUUGGUGUCUCCUGGAAGAUCUGUUCACAUCCUGGCCCCUGAAACUUGUGAAUGGGACUUUAUUUAGAAAUAGGGCCUUUGCGGCCGGGCGCGGUGGCUCACGCCUGUAAUCCCAGCACUUUGGGAGGCCGAGGCAGGCGGAUCACAAGGUCAGAAGAUCGAGACCAUCCUGGCUAACACGGUGAAACCCCGUCUCUAUGAAAAAUACAAAAACAAAAUUAGCCGGGCGUGGUGGCGGCAGGCGCCUGUAGUCCCAGCUACUCGGGAGGCUGAGGCAGGAGAAUGGUGUGAACCCGGAAGGCGGCGCUUGCAGUGAGCCGAGAUCGCGCCACCGCACUCCAACCUGGGCGACACAGCGACACUCCGUCUCAAAAAAAAAAAAAAAAAAAUAGGGCCUUGGCAGAUGUGACCGAGUUAUGACGAGGUCGUUCGAGUGGGCCUGGCGCAGCGUGACUGGCAUCCAUAUAAAAUACACAUGCAUUGAUUGGGCACUGGUGAAAGGGAACUACCUCAGUCCCCACCUCAGGAUGUCGCAUAACCGGUGUUUAUGGCACCAAAAACUUCAUCUCUGUAAACCACUUGGAGGGGUGUCUGGCACCAAGUCCAUGUCCAUGAGUGUCUGAAAAUAGCAUAAAAAUAAAAUAGAAAAAAAGAAAGAGCUGGUGCCUACCCUCGGGGAGCCUACAGGACGUGAGCUUGAAAGAGCUGGUUAUCUCCCCGUCUCUCUGUCUCUCUCUGUCUUGGAAAUGUCUAAGGGGGCAGGCAGGAGGGCUUCCUGGAGGAGGGGUCCUUUGAGCUGAGUUCAGAAGGGCGAGAAGGAGCCAGGUUUCUCAUGGAGCAGCCAAUGCAAAGGGCUGGGGGCCACCUGGAGCCUGGUGUGUCCUUCGGGCAGCUGGUGUGGCUGGAGCAGGGGAUGCCAAGCCUGCUGAGGGCUUCAUGGGCCGCAGGGAGGAGUUUGGUUUUUCUCCUGAGGGCACUGGGGAGCCACAGCAGAGUUUAGAGCAGAAGAAGGACACAAUUUGUGCCCUGUGCCCGUGGUGAGCGGCGAGCAGGGAGGGCUGCCUGGAGGCGGGUAAGGACCUCAGAGCGGAAUUCUGCCACAGUGAAGCUUUGGAGGAAAUCUUUCUUCCUUUUCUCUUCUUUUCCCAUCACGGGUUGAGAAAUUGGAGGGAGGGGCAUUGCUGGGGCUUCCUGUGCCCGCGUGUGCGGGGGGUUCUGGGGCCUGCUGCCUGCCUGAGCCAGCCCCUUUUCCCGCCAGAGGCCUCUCGUCAGUCCCCGGGGGGGCCCAGUGGUGACCUUGGGCCUCGGGGAACAUCCAGACCUGGGUCAGUGGCCUCGGCAAGUGCCCGGGGGAUCCGCCCUCCGGUCCCCGUGCCAGUUUCCACAGCGGGACAGGGGGGUCCCGGGGGCCGGGAGUCCGCAGCCCCGAAGACCUACGCUGCCGCCAGCCACACCCCUGGGGGUCCGACCCUCCUGGGUCCCACUUUACAGAUGGAGGAACUGAGGCGGUGACUCUAAUCUUCGCCCGGCCUGAGUCGCGGGGCUGGAACCCGCAGCGUUUGCCGAUUCCCAGGGCCCGAGCGCUCCGGCGAGUGUGUGUGUAACGCCCUCUCCCUGGACGCCUCGAGUUUAGGAAACGGCGGAGCCGCCCGGAUUGAAAUUCUCGGCCCGUGCACGCCCGGCGGAGAAAUCCAUGACGCAUUGUUUAGACAGACGCCUUUAAACCGCGCCGCGGCGGGGGGCGGCGGCCGGGGGC